Austrofundulus limnaeus is the source of this 1775-nucleotide long non-coding RNA. RefSeq lists it as uncharacterized. Lineage: Eukaryota; Metazoa; Chordata; Actinopteri; Cyprinodontiformes; Rivulidae. The transcript is spliced from 2 exons. The record is from RefSeq and is a predicted model, not a curated record.
ACACACACACACACACACACACACACACACGCUCUGCGGGAGACUCCCCAGCCUGACCUUUUUUCUCUCCGACAGACGAAAGAGUUGAGAAAGUUGCGCGGCGCUGCGGAGAGCCUCCAGCUGCAGUAGCACUUCAGUCCCGGAGGAGUUGGCGACACAACCCAUAGAAUACAACCCUGAGCCAACGUGUUGGAGGGUGUUAGGGCCACCUAACCUUGUCAAUCCUGACGACAAGAAAAGGAAAAGAGGAAAAAAGGAGGAGGGGGUAUACAAACUGUGGCUUCUUUCACUUGUCUAAUGACUUUCUCUGGCAUGUAUUGAUCACCCCUUUGUAACCCCUGCAGCCCCCGGAGACUCCAAGAACGGGUUUCAUGUUACCCGCUUUCACAGAGAAUGAAGGAGGAUGGAGGCAGUCGUGAAGAAGGAAAAGGAGGAGCAGAGGAAUAGAUGAGGGGCUUAUUGUGAAGCAAAAAGUGAGGAGGAAACCAGAAAGAAGAAAUGAAUCCUUGUGUUUGUUGAAGAGAUGAGACAUUGUUUUCAACAAAAAAAUUYAUACUGAAUGAUAGAAAGGGUAUGUUUUUAGAGAACAUGCUCAUGAUGCAGAGGGUGACAAAAGGCAGAAACCUCUAAGUUUGCGUGGGAUGGAGAUGGUGGGGAGUCUAGGGUCAGCUGAAACCCCCAAGCUCGCUCCCGCCAACCGGGUUGAGUUCUGAUUUUGCUCCUGUGUUGCACAUGAUACAGAGGGCCAGCUUGAAUCCUCCUGGGAGAACUGGCCGRGGACAGAGCAACUCCUCUAAUUACAAGAACCAAUCAACCCGACCUGUAUUCAGAUCUGACCUCCUGCCUGACUCUCUGCACCCUUAAUUAAAGUCAAAAGUCUUCUGAAGAAAACUGAGGUGUGAUGGAGAAGGACCAACGUGCAAUCUGACAGUUUUGUAUGUGCAAAGUUUGUGAACUUCUCUAACUAGCUCCUCCUUUCCUAAAGAUAUGUUCAYGUGAACAUAUGUGGGGAUUUUGCUAUUUCUUGUAAAGUAUGAAUGGUCAUAUUCUAUCUGAGCCUGUACAGAAGGUACAUUUUUAUGGGUGUGGACACAGGUGCCAAGUUUAGUGAGUGAAUACGUUAAGGAUCUGGAUCUAGGUGUGGAAGUGUGACUUGUACGAGAGCRGCAACAGUUUUGGAUGAAUGCAUACAUUCAAGAUUGAAGUAGCAACAAUGUUCCACCGCUUUUGGACCAAAGUGUGAGUUUAGCCUCAUCGCUUAACACAACAAUGCUUAUUGGGGCUUCAACCCAUGAGAAAAAAAAAAAAAGAAAGUCUUGUUCCACAAACUUGAAGAAAUUAAAAAAACACCUUCUGCUAAUCGGAAUGCUGAGUGUGAAUGCACAAAAAGCAUAUAGUUACGCAAACCCAUUUCUGUUUUGUAUUUCUCACAACCCUCACAGAAGCAAACAUAUCGAUAACGUUCACCAGCCUCACACAGCCAUCUACUGUCUGUUCUGCUUCCAGUUUACAACUUUUAAAAACUCGGCUUGAUCGAGUCCAGGCCUUAACUUUAUGUGUGCAGUCACUGAAAACUAACCAGGCAGACCCUCUCAGCACAGACUUGCUCACCUAGCCCUCAGCCUAAUAUCCUCUCUGCAGCUGGUGGAGUCAGAGUGCACUUGUCAUGGGGCUUGUGCGGAGCUGCAGUGGGUAUUAUACAUGUUUUAUUAACAUAUGUAAAGCUAAGCUCCAGAUGGAAACAAUGUGUAGUUAUUUUUUUCUUUUUUUUUUGU